This 444-nucleotide ribosomal RNA is filed under the name uncultured fungus. RNAcentral describes it as "SSU rRNA". It matches the Rfam family "Eukaryotic small subunit ribosomal RNA", at positions 793 to 1236 of the family's 1831-position model. Lineage: Eukaryota; Fungi. The record is from RNAcentral.
GGGAUCCGAUUUUAGCAUGGAAUAAUAAAAUAGGACGUGUGGUUCUAUUUUGUUGGUUUCUAGGACCGCCGUAAUGAUUAAUAGGGACAGUCGGGGGCAUCAGUAUUCAAUUGUCAGAGGUGAAAUUCUUGGAUUUAUUGAAGACUAACUACUGCGAAAGCAUUUGCCAAGGAUGUUUUCAUUAAUCAGGAACGAAAGUUAGGGGAUCGAAGACGAUCAGAUACCGUCGUAGUCUUAACCAUAAACUAUGCCGACUAGGGAUCGGACGGUGUUAUUUUUUGACCCGUUCGGCACCUUACGAGAAAUCAAAGUGCUUGGGCUCCAGGGGGAGUAUGGUCGCAAGGCUGAAACUUAAAGGAAUUGACGGAAGGGCACCACCAGGAGUGGAGCCUGCGGCUUAAUUUGACUCAACACGGGGAAACUCACCAGGUCCAGAAAUCUAGA